Molecule: long non-coding RNA, 438 nt
Organism: Syngnathus acus (greater pipefish)
Lineage: Eukaryota; Metazoa; Chordata; Actinopteri; Syngnathiformes; Syngnathidae
Exons: 3
Source: RefSeq, a predicted model, not a curated record
UACUGAAACUAAAGCCUCUCUGGCCAGCAAAAAUAGCUUAUGGUAGUCUCACUGCUGCUAGUUGACCACCUAAGGCAACAUACAGAGACGCAUAGAAUCCAAAUUUUACAACAUUCCCCCCUUCGGGACUAUAUAAUUGUCCCGAAAACGGUCCAACAAGAGAUGACAUCGGUAAACAUCCAAAAAUCUUCCCCCAACCAAAUUUUAUGGUCAUGUCUACAAUUUGGCCUAUACCUGCACAGCCUAAAUCACGCUCGAGGCAUGCUACUUAAGGUUAUUUUAACUAGGAAAGCUCAAAUUAUUUAGGUAUCCAAUUGCUCCCUGACAGCAAUCUGAGGCCUCUCAGGAACCACAAGUAAAGAAAAUUGAAGUCCACAUUAUCCAAAUGACGAUAACCACCCCCCUGAGGUAAUAGCUCAACAACGGUGACAAAUUUCA